Molecule: ribosomal RNA, 253 nt
Filed under: uncultured bacterium
Lineage: Bacteria
Description: partial 16S ribosomal RNA
Rfam family: Bacterial small subunit ribosomal RNA
Source: RNAcentral
UACGAAGGGGGCUAGCGUUGCGCGGAAUCACUGGGCGUAAAGGGUGCGUAGGCGGGUCUUUAAGUCAGGGGUGAAAUCCUGGAGCUCAACUCCAGAACUGCCUUUGAUACUGAGGAUCUUGAGUUCGGGAGAGGUGAGUGGAACUGCGAGUGUAGAGGUGAAAUUCGUAGAUAUUCGCAAGAACACCAGUGGCGAAGGCGGCUCACUGGCCCGAUACUGACGCUGAGGCACGAAAGCGUGGGGAGCAAACAGG